ACUGGAAGGUUGGCAGCUUCUGUAAUCACGCUUCUGUGAGGUCUGAUUGUGGGAUGGCCUGAGGCUGGGAAUCACUGUGUAGCGGACCAGCUCAUGUUGACGGAACGUCCGCACUAAGCUUGACAUCAAUAUGGGUGCCAUGGAGGAGUCCACGGCAUUCAGGUUGGCCAAGGAGGGACGAACCGGGCCAGGGGUGAAAACCAGCAGCCAAGAGUUCCCGUGUUAGGCAGUAGUGGGAUAGCGUACCGGAGUGAACUGCCGUUAUCAGCCCAACCAAUUAUGGUUGGACCACAAUCUUUU
This 300-nucleotide signal recognition particle RNA is filed under the name Drosophila willistoni. RNAcentral describes it as "Metazoan signal recognition particle RNA". It matches the Rfam family "Metazoan signal recognition particle RNA". Rfam says of the family: The signal recognition particle (SRP) is a universally conserved ribonucleoprotein. It is involved in the co-translational targeting of proteins to membranes. The eukaryotic SRP consists of a 300-nucleotide 7S RNA and six proteins: SRPs 72, 68, 54, 19, 14, and 9. The record is from Rfam by way of RNAcentral. Lineage: Eukaryota; Metazoa; Arthropoda; Insecta; Diptera; Drosophilidae.